This 160-nucleotide non-coding RNA is filed under the name pig gut metagenome. The record is from RNAcentral.
UUUAAUGCGAAUGGUUCCCCUGCGGGAUUAAUAGGAAAAUGAGUAAAAGCUCAUACGGUCACGCCGCUGUAAGGGAGUAGUCGCGCUUCAUUAUGUCACUGGAAACGGGAAGACGAAGCGCGGUGAUGAUACCCAAGUCAGAAGACCUGCCAUUUGUAUA